GGUGCUCUCCACAAUCAAUCAAUAUCAAUUGCUGGCGCAAAUCUACGAGCGAGCUAUGAAAUUUGCGAAUAACGACUCGUUUUUGUGGUAAAUUCGAGAUUUUCGAGAGUUUUUCGGCUGAAAAUCUGGCAACAUUUCCAGGCAACAAUUCGCUCUUUCUGCAAUCUGCUGUGGCCGGUUUUCCCGGGCGAUUCGGGUCUUCGAACAGUCCAUUCUCGCCUCCACAAUCGCCUCAGAAUCUCUGACGUCAUCAGCGUCGUCGACGUCAUCGAUUUCCUCGCAAAAUUCGACGUCAAAAGCUCAAAAUUUGCAUCAAAAUCGUCGGCCGAAAUCGCCGGAUUCGGCAAUGUUUUCAUCGCUAAAACUUACCAAUAACCCGUCCUGCGCACUUUCAGUCAUUUCCGAAUAUAUGAUGAUCUCACAGGUGUUAAUCGAGCGAUUCGGCAAUUAUGAGCCAGGUUAGAGCCCCUGAAAGUGGUUUUUUCGAACUCUCCGUGCUCUCAGCUUUCAAAUGAGCCCCAUAUCGAGUAGCGUUGAUUUUGAAAAAAUCGCGGGUCUCGCCGCGAAAACUUGGAAGCUACAGUAAUCCUCGUGGUGAGACCUGAAAAUUUUCAAAAUCAACUGAAACUAGCCAAUAUGGGGCUCAUUUGAAAGCUCUCAGUGAGCUGAGUACAAAAAUCUUAUUUUCAACUGAAAAUUUCUCCCCAUGCGCCUUUAAGCUACAGUAACCCCGGGGGGAUUUUCGUGGCGGGACCUAAAAAUUUCCAAAAUUAUCGAAAACUAGUAUUUAUGAGACUUAUUUGAAAGCUAUCAGUGUGCUGAGUUUAAAAAUAGCAUUUUUAAUGGAAAAUACGUUACCCUGCGCCUUUAAACUACAGUAACACCGGGGGAUUUCGUGGCGAGACCCAAAAAUUUCCGAAAAUCAACGAAAACUAGUCGAUAUGGGGCGUAUUUUGAAGCUCUGAGUGAGCUGAGCUCAAAAAUAUUAAUCACACCUUGAAAUUCCUCCCCAUGCGCCUUUAAACUACAGUAACCCCGGAGGGAUUUCGUGGCGGGACCCCAAAUUUUUUGGUUUAUUGAAAUCUGCCCAAUUUGGGGCUCAUUUUGAAGCUCUCAGUGUGCUCAGUUCAAAAAUAUUAAUAACAUUGCGAAUUUUCUUCCCAUGCGCCUUUAAACUACAGCAACACAGGGGGAUUUCGUGGUGGGACCCGAAAUUCCUCAAAAUCAACCGAACCUGAGCAAUAUGGGCUCAUUUGAAAGCUCUCAGUGUGCUGAGCUCAAAAAUAUUCUAUUCGAGUCAAAUACUAACCCGUGCGUCUUUAAACUACAGUAACUCCCCGGGGGAUUUCGUGGCGAGACCCAAAAAAUUCCAAAAUCAACGAAAACUAGCCGAUAUGGGGGGCUUAUUUGAAAGCUCUCAGCAGCCCAAAUCUGAAAAACCGAAUACAAAAUUUCCAGCAAUCGAAUACGCGUCAAAGGCCGUGGAUUUGUGCUCCAAAGAGGGACAAUUGUCGUUUUUGAAGGCCCGAUGCCAAUUGUUGCAUGCAAUUGCUUAUGGGUAAGAAUAGGCUGAAAAUGAGCGAUUUUUUCGAGUUUUUCAUGAAAAAAUAGGCUAAAAAUAUGCAUUUUCGGCCAAAAAACCGGCAAAAAUCGCGUUUUUUUUUCAGAUUCCGAGCCUCCGAAGAGCCAUCAUGGGACCUGAAGAAGGCUCAACUCGCGAAAACGGUCCAAUUAAUUGAAGAAUGUGUAUCGAUUGAUGCUCACGACUAUCUUUCACUAUAUUAUGCAGCAUAUUUUCAUGCAAUUUCCCGUGAUCUCGAAUCCGCGAAAGAUCGGUGCUCGCGGAGCCUGGCUCUUAAUGGAGAUCAGCCUGCGGCCAUUAUGCUCUUGGCGUUGAUUUUUACGGCUUACGGAGACCUUAAAGGAGCUCUGGAUCUUGUUAUCAACUCGCUCGCCGAGUUUGAGCAUAACUAUGGGCUCAUGGUGCUCAGGCUUCAUAUUGAGACGAAAUUCGGCAGAAUUGAAG
RNAcentral lists this small RNA (2026 nucleotides) under Caenorhabditis elegans. RNAcentral's name for it is "Unclassified non-coding RNA Y39A3CR.13". The record is from RNAcentral. Lineage: Eukaryota; Metazoa; Nematoda; Chromadorea; Rhabditida; Rhabditidae.